GCCAGACUCCUACGGGAGGCAGCAGUGGGGGAUAUUGCACAAUGGGGGGAACCCUGAUGCAGCGACGCCGCGUGAGGGAAGACGGCCUUCGGGUUGUAAACCUCUGUCGCAGGGGACGAAGAAGAUGACGGUACCCUGUGAGGAAGCCACGGCUAACUACGUGCCAGCAGCCGCGGUAAUACGUAGGUGGCGAGCGUUGUCCGGAAUUACUGGGCGUAAAGGGCGCGUAGGUGGGCGCUUAAGUCAGGUGUGAAAACUCCGGGCUCAACCUGGAGACUGCACUUGAAACUGGGUGUCUUGAGGGCAGGAGAGGAAAGUGGAAUUCCUAGUGUAGCGGUGAAAUGCGUAGAUAUUAGGAGGAACACCAGUGGCGAAGGCGGCCUGCUGGACGACAACUGACGGUGAGGCGCGAAAGCGUGGGGAGCAAACAGGAUUAGAUACCCGCGUAU
This 449-nucleotide ribosomal RNA is filed under the name uncultured bacterium. RNAcentral describes it as "partial 16S ribosomal RNA". It matches the Rfam family "Bacterial small subunit ribosomal RNA", at positions 330 to 793 of the family's 1533-position model. The record is from RNAcentral.